CCUGAUUGGUCACCUACAGGGGGCGGGGCUGCAUCAUUUGCGUACGAGUCAGUAGGAAGAAAGACCUAGGAGGUGGGAGGCAGGUUGUGAUUAUCUGUGGUUCCUGAGAGGAAUUGUGAAAGCUGCAGGAAUUGUUGGACAACAUUACGUUCUUCUGCCGGCCUUACUCCCGCUAAAAGAAAGCCCGGGUAAGGGACGGUUACUUUAAGGUCGAACUGGAAGACAGAAGGCUUUUUUUCCACAGAAAAAUCUCCGCCUCUCUUAAGAGUGAAUUAGAAAGCCAGCUGGAAUAAGAGGAGAACGAGGAAACCUCUGCCUAGUUUUCAAUAAGAUUUUAGAAUCUAGGGGUUUGAAGAAGGCUCCAUUUAGUUGUUUCUGCACCCUGCAGAACAAUCAUUCUAAAAAUAGCUUAAUUUUAGAACAACCGCAAAUAACAGAUGUAUUUAGAACUUCUGUUAAAAAAAUAACAUCCAUUUAAGGCUUAAGAGGUCAAUGUUCUUGCUGAGAAAGGUAUAUUAUGCACUCUAAGCUUUUAGCUGUAGAUUUGGCAAAUGGGAUCUUAAAGCUUUUAUCAGUCAAGAGCAAACAAGUGUCUACUUCUCAUUUAGAUAUAAGAAUAUCCCCUUAUUAUAAUUGUUGUUUUCUGGUGUUGUGCUAAGUUCUUUUAAGUAGUACAUUUUAUAUCAGCCUUUCUGCACAAAAAUACAGAGAGGUAGGCAGUUUUCCAUUUUACGUAUGAAAAAAGUUUAAAAUGGUUGAACAGUUUGUCCAAGUUCAUUGAGCUAGUAAGUGGUAGACCUGGAAUUCUAGCCUUGGUCCUUUGACUCUGACCUUUAAGCAUUUGAUCUGUCAGCUCUUGUCCCCCGCUGGGAAUUUCUGCCUAAUGACCAUAUGGACGAAAGGCUUGCAAUAUUGAGUACACUCAGUCCUGGAUUCUCACAUAGACAAGGAGGGAAUAUUAUGAUUAUUUUCCCCAGUGUCAUCUGUUUUAGCCAAAGAAAGGCACUUGAUUUCUGCCACCCUCUUCCCAAUCUUUAGCAUCUCCAUUUUAUAACCUGGCCUCUUUAAUUAAGUUCAAACUGCUUUCUUAAAGGGAAAAGUAGGCCUUUUGCCUUUUGUUGGGUCUUCUAAGCUAACUUUCAGAAUUGAAAUGAUUGUGGUCACAGCUACUGGGAGGCUGAGGUGCAUGACUGAGGUAGGAAAAUGGCUUGAGCCCAGAUGUUUGGGAUCUGUCUGGGCAACAUGAUGUUUUCUAAUUAAAAAAAAAAUAGGUAAAAAACUUUCCUGAACUUUAUAGAAAUGCAUGCUGUAUUGUUAAAAUUUGGAAAAUAGAAAAAUAAGGAAGAGGAAAUUAAUCCUCAUUCUACAACCAAAUAUAACUACUAAUUUUCACUUCCUUGGAUAGUCUGUAUAUGUAGAUUGUCUCUACUUUCAGCCACAGUGUUAUUGCUACCUGAAAUAUUCUUUGUCAUGGGCAAAACCUUUUCAUCUAUUUUGUGAAUUCUUUCUUGAUUGACCUCUCUCUCUGUAUGUUUAUAGUAUUAUUAGCAUAUAAUAUUCCUAUAAUGCUUAUAAGUAUUAUAGCAUAUAAUCAUUUAUUUGUCUUUUUUAGACUAUGGGCUCCUCAGAGAAAGAUAAAGUUCUAGAACCAUUAGAAAGAAAUGCAAGGAAGUGAGGAGACCAAAAUGUCAGAUGCAUGAAUGUUUUUGCCCAUUUUGUGAGCUGGGUUCACCUGUGGCGAACCUUCUACAGAGCACCAGAGAAAUGAGAACAUAGUGAAUUUUUCAUUUAGUUAAAUUUAUUUACUCUAAGGAUUGUUUUUUAUUUCAAAAUUGCCUGUCCUUUUUUUUAAUGUAAUGAAAUAAUAGUCAAUAUUACUUGUUUUUCAAAUGUUCUUACUUCGGAGAAUAAAACAUUGGUAAUUUUAUGUGCCCAACAUGUGGCUUAUUUUUAAAGUUUUUCUUGGCCUAUGAAUUCCUGAAGUUGAGGAAUUAUAAGAAAUGACCACUGUCAGCAACCAUAAUGCUGCUGUGAUCCUAAUCUGCUUGGUUCAUUUGCUAUAGAUAUUGUCUGUACUCUAGAUAUGAUUUAGCCUAAGCCUGAAGGGUAGAUCUGAGCUUGAAUGGUGUUUGUUAAAAAUAAACAAACAAACAAACAAAAAGAGGUGAUUAUAACUGGAAGAUGGCAUGAGGGUCAAAAGUAAGCUGUUGAUCAACUUUCAUGUAAAUUAUGUAAAACAAUUGAAGUUUCUGUUUAUCUGUUACUGUAUCACAUGAAAAUAGGUAGAUGGAAUUUUGCCAUCCUUGAAGGAUGUGUUUGGAUUAGUCUGUCAUAAAAAUGAUAGAUUAAUUAAAUUUCUUUUGAACAAUCCUGGGAACUGGGCACUAUUAACACUUUGGCAUGUAUCUUCAUCUCUCUUUCAUUUAAUAUGUCCAUAGUGGUUUUAAAACCUGGUUUUAAAUUCUUUGACAAUCUUCUCAUAAAAAGAGAGUCAGUGUUUCCUCUUCUAAAGUCUGUAUGGGCCGGUGACUGAUUUGACCGGCAGAAUAUGGUUAAAGUGACCAUAGUCACUUUAUGUGACUAUGUGACUACUGAGGCUAGGUCAUAAAAGGCCAUAUAGCUCCACAUUGACUACUGGAACACUUACUUUUUGAACUUUCAAGCAUCAUGUAAAAAAGUCUCACUGCCUGAGGCUAAAGUGCUGUGAGAAAGCCUAGGACGCGCAGAGAGGCUCCUUGAAGGUACCCUGAGAGUCAGCUCAACCUAGCCCAGCUGACAGUCAUGAGUGAACAAGCUGAUUCCAGCUCCCAGCCAUACCAGGCAUUCCUCAGCCAUUUGAGUACUCCUGGCUGAGGCCAUAGUCAGUCAUGUGGACCAGAGAUAUGCACACCAUCCUUGUUUCUGCUUUGUCCUGUGUCCUGACCUGAAAAAUCCAUGCACACUUAGUUUGGAGUUGCUUGGUACACAUUUUUCCAGUAGUCUUUUAUCUAUGUGUUUAUAUUUACCUAAUCUGAAAGAAGUUUCUCCCUUAUAAUGAUUUUCUGCCUAUGGCUGACUCACCCUAGGAAGAAAUGUCUUAGAUUUUUCUUUUUAAGGAACAUUUUGGCUCCGGAAUCUGAGAUGAUGCUAACCAACCAAUGAGUUAAGUGAGUUUUAUAUAUAAAGAUUGUAAAAAGAGGAGAGAUCUAAGAGGGUCCUUACAGUAUGCUUCAAUUUGUAUUGUUUCCUUUUUUUCCUCUUCCCCUCUCAAAUGGGAGGGAAACUGGUCUAUUCUAUACCAAAUGAGUGGGGAAGAAAAUGGAAGUGGUAUAAGUUGUAAUAUCAAACUUCAAAUCUGAACCUUGGAGCUGAGUAUUUUUGCUUCUACUGAGAUUAAACUUUACCUACCAUAUCUUUCAGCCUAAAUUUUACACUUCGUUGAAGUUGCCAUGUCGUAUUCAUCUCUACUGUCCCCUGCCCUACCCAUGUCUAUAACAGAUAAAGCUGAGAUCCUUGAUAAGUAUCAUCGUAUCUCUAUUUGUCUAUAUGACUUUAUAUAUAGUCUACCUUAUCUUGAGGCUUCUCUCAGAUAUUUUUGGUCAAUACUGUAGUUGCAUUUAUAAAUUCAUUAAGUAGCAAAUUUAAUAAUCAUUAAAUAUGAAAAAAUAUAACAUGUUCAUGUUAAAAUAAAAAUGAAUUUCGAUGACUUGGAAAUUUUUUUAGUAUUUCAUAGCACUGUAAUUUAUUUAUUGGGUCUUACACUUCAGAGCUGUGGCUGACAAAAUGUCCUGCAGUCAUUCUUGGUCUGCAGUAUGUUUCUGUAUGGUCCUUGAGCUAAGAAUAAUUUUUUACCUUCUUUUUCAACUAUGGUAAAAUAUCCAAAACAUAGUAUUUACUGUUUUAAUCAUUUUUAAAUGUACAAUUCAGUAGUAUUAAAUAUAUUCACAUUGUUGUGCAACUCUUACCACUAUGACCUCCAGAACUUUUUUAUCAUCCCAAGUAGAAACUCUGCAUUCAUUAAGUAGCAACUCCCCACAGGUCUUGGGUCACCAUUAUUUUACUUUCUAUCUGUAUGAAUUUGACUAUCCAGCUAACUUGCAUAAGUGGAAUCAUACGAUAUUUGUUCUUUUGUGUCUGGCUUGUUUGACCUAGCAUAAUGUUUUCAAGGUUCAUACAUAUUGUAGAAUUUUAUUUCCUUUUUAGGAUUGAAUAAUAUUCCAUUGUACGUGUAUACCACAAUUUGUAUAUCCAUUUCAUCCAUUGAUUAUCUUUUGGGUUGUUCUUACCUUUUGACUAUUAAUAAAUGCUACUAUGAACAUUAGUAUAUAAAUAUUUGUUCGCAUCCUUGUUUCUUAUUUGGUUUUAUAUUUUUAAAGAGAUAAAAAGAACAUUUAAAUUUUUUUUUACUAUCCGGACUUUUCUAGAAAAGUUUGUCAACCCCUAAUUAAAAUUUAAGAUGGUUAUAUUGGGCUGUUUCAAAGUUGCUUAAUGAAUGUUUCCAUAAAGUUUAUUCAUUUCUUCAUUAGAAAAGGCAUAUUUAAAUUAUAGGAUUUGGAAAGGGGUAUAUAUCCCCCAAAGAUAAACUUAAAAUAACCCUUUUUACUCUAAACUUUUUAAAUUUGGAUUCGUCAGGGCUUAGUACUGCGGAAAGGCAUAUGUGUCCAAAAAAUGUACAUAAGCCUAAGGUACUUUGGAAGGAUAUUCUAACACGACAAUGGAAAGGUCCUGACCCAGUGAUUGUCUGGAGUUGGGGUUCUGUUUGUGUGUUUCCACAGGGAGAACAACAGCCGAUUUGGAUUCCAGAGAAACUAACCAAAGCGAAUUCUACGGACCAAAAAAAAAAAAAAAAAAAAAGGUGAUUUGACUCAAAUCCAUAACAGCUGAUAUCCAGAGCUCCAGUUUGGCUAUUCUUACAUCUGCAACAGUGAUUAACCAGGAUGCUUUUUUCAAUAUUUAUUUUAUUAUUUGCCUUUUCCCAUAUCAUAAAGUUCUAUUUUAUUUUUGAGCUCAUACAGACCUAGGUUACUAGGUUAAUGUUUUUCUGAUCAGUUUUAUUUUUUGACUGUGGAGUUUUUAAACAUUGCAAUGGAGAUUUCACCUAGGUAAAGCUACAAGGCCUUUACUAUUGUCUUAUGUGUUGCAUGUUAUGUGUGCACACUUCUGUUUUGUGUUGUAUGUCUGUAUGUGCGUAUGUCCAUAUAUCAUAUAUGAGGAGCGCUCAUGAAUAAAUGGAUCCGAAUUUUUUUUAUUCACUUGAUUUUAAUGGUUUAAUUUAGAUUGGCUAAACAGCUGUUGAAAAUUGUUUUAAUAUGUGAACAAAUAAGGAGGUUAACAGAUCUGUUUGUUUACUUUCACCUUUCCUUUUCAUUAUAUUUAAUAAUUCUGUUCAGGAUAAUGUAAAUUGUUCAAAAAAUUGUUUUCUUAGUGCCUGUUGGAAUGUUACAUAAUUUUUUUCUUAGCAUCAUUGCCAGAAUUCCUAUCUUCAUCCCAGUGCCGGUGAAGACAAAGAUAAAACCAAACUACAGCUUCUUCGAUAGUUAUCACAACAAACUGUAAAAACUGAUGCAUCAAUGAAUAAUAACUCAACAAGUAAUGCUCAAUUAAGGAGUUGAUUUACUUUGGGAGGAAAUGGACAUAUUGACAGAUUCCUCUGCUUUGAAUUGCUUGCAGACCUUGCCUGGACUAUGUAUCACUUGUAUGCAUUGUGAACUAUCUGUUGGUACAGCGAAUUGUGGUAGUGCUGGAGUAUUUUUGCUGAUGGUGUCACCGGUGGUACAAUUUUUCAAAGGAGCCCUCAAUUGGCUUAGUGUCAUGGCAUUUUGCAUCCUCCUCCCUUCUACUAGUGAUGGUCUAAAAUUUGGGGGCCAACAGAGGUGAGGCAAAGAACCUCACCCCCCCCAGUGGUGCAAAGGCCUAUCCACAAGUAUGGCUAUAUGCUGGACUGGUAGUCAGUGACGGGUAUGAUCCAAUUGCAGUGGUACCAACCUAAGACAGGAGGCUGACGCCUAGAGGUCAGUUCNCCUGAGUUCAAUCCCUGGUACCAAAUAAAUAAAAUAAAUGAAACAUAGCUGCUGUAAUCUUCAAGUUGAAAAUUUAAGGAACUCUGGUUCUGAUGGUUGUUCAGGAGGACUGAAGGGGUAGAUCCUGUAAACAGGGGCCUGUCAUUAGGGGGUAUGAAUAGUUUGUGAUAUUUUGACUUUUCAUCGCUGAGGCAACCCUAAAUUCUGUGGGUGUGGUGCUCACAAAUGUCUAGUUCUCUUGUUCCUUGAGAUUUGCACUUUGCUGUUCCUCUUGCAGGAGGGAUUAUGUGGUUCUGGCCAGUAGGUUUUAAGAGUGGAGUCAUGUGUCAUUUAAUUGCUGGUAUAAGAUCCUCUCACACUCUCCCCUGCUUUCUAGAGCAGCUUGAAUGAUCCUAAAUAAACAAACCUGGACUCAGUGGGGUCCAUACUAAAGAAGUCAAAGUGCUAAAAUUGCCUUUGCAAAAUGUAGAAGGAGGAAUGUAAAGACUUUGGAAAUAAGGAUGCAAGAGUGGAUUUUUCACACGUAGCCUACCCAGGCACCUAAUCUUUAACUUCAUCUCAUGAAGGAGCCUAGAGAAAAACACUGGUGUAAGAGCUGCCAUCUUGGGAUUGCUUUAAUGGUAAUUGUAACUGUUACUGGGAACAGUGUAGUUAAUAUGAGUCCCCUAGUCAAUGAAAAUGAGAGGGUCUAGACAUGGGAAAAGCCAUGUAGCAUAUUCAAUGGCCAGUAGCCAGAGGAGCAGUGAUUUACAGUUACAAAAGGCAAUAGGCCUGAUAUCAAAUGGCAUGACUUCAGAUGGUAAUGAACUGGGGUGGGGAUCAUCAGACUUAAGAAUUGUGAAGGGUCUGAGAUUUUUACUAUUUACUAGAUGCCUUAGUUUGAAUGUUGAAUAUCCCCCAAAGGCCCAUGUGUUUAAGGCUUGCUUCCCAGGGUGGUGCUGUUGGGAGGAGGUGGGGCCUAGUGGUAUAUCCUUAGGUCAUUGUGAGUAUGCCAUCAAGAGGGACUGUGGGAUCCCAGACCCUUCAUCUUGCUCUUGUUUGCUUCUUGGCCUCAAGGUGAGCUAUUUGCUCUGCCUUGCACUCCCUGCCAUUCUAGGCAAGCACUCUAGCACAGAGCCACAUCCCCAGCCCUCCCUGCCAUUCUGUCUGGCAUCCCCGCGAGACACCUAAAAGCAAUGGGUCCACAAGUUCAUGGACUGGAACCUUUAAAAUUGUGAGCUCUCUCUGCUUUUUGUCUC
This 7237-nucleotide long non-coding RNA is filed under the name Marmota monax (woodchuck). The record is from RNAcentral. Lineage: Eukaryota; Metazoa; Chordata; Mammalia; Rodentia; Sciuridae.